Molecule: long non-coding RNA, 385 nt
Filed under: Helianthus annuus (common sunflower)
Lineage: Eukaryota; Viridiplantae; Streptophyta; Magnoliopsida; Asterales; Asteraceae
Description: sRNA HanXRQr2_Chr10g0419841
Source: RNAcentral
UCAAAUAUCAGAAAUAAAUCCACAACUAACAUGAAAUUAACAGACAUAUUAACAAAAUCCGCGACAACCCGUUUACUUAUGAAUGGGUUUAUUUGGGUUGUCUUUUUAAACGGGACAAACAGGUUGAAAUAGUUUGCUUUCAAUACAUACAACCCAUCCUCAAUUUCUAAACUUUUACGUCAAAGAUUUAAAUUAUUAAUGCAAUAGUCUUGUUUUUGUGGUAGAUUUCCAUAAUUCAGAAUGUGAUUAGCAUAAGUGGCUUGACCCGUUUAGUAAAUGGUUUGAUCUAGAUUAUGCUUUAUUGGUAAAUUCUAUACACUUGUUAAACAGUUUUUAUUUUAAAAAAAAUAGAUUAUGACUUUCUUAAGCAUACUAAAAAAAAUUA